GCUCUAAACAGCAUGGAGGAGCAUGGUUUUCUCUCCUGCUUUUGCUUGACUGGUUAACAGCUGAAUUCAGAGUGAACAAAUCAGCUCACACAUAAGGACCUAAAAAUAUCAAAAUAGAGGCAGAACCCUCCUGUUCAUACAGGAGUUCCCCACCCUCACUGUGGAGGGAGAGGGGCUGGGGGAAGCAUCUGGUGAAAAUGAAAUCUGAACAAUGACACACUGAGAAAGACAUUGCAUUGAAUGGGAGACCAACAGGGUACCUGGUGCCCUUUUAGCACCCACCUGCAGCACUCCAUUCACUUCUCUGCUUUUCCUUAUGAAGGAUCUGCUGCAGAAUGACCAAGGUAAGAGAAGAGCCAACCCUUGAUCACAUUGGAACAAAGGAGGAUUUGCAUUGGGCUUUACUGAAAAGGUGGGGAAAGCCAAAGGUACAGAGAAGGUAAAGACAGUAGAAGACGUCCAGGUUCUGCCUCACAGAACAAGAGGCUCCUAAAGGUGCCAGUCGUACAAAAAGGAAAGAAGGAAAGGCUCAGUAUGUGGACAAAGGCUUUUAAAAACCUACCUGUUCAGACUGAAAUGGCCCAACAGCGUGCCUCCAGUCUUCUCUGAAGUUAAUGAUGGUCAAGGGCAUGCCCUGCUAGAUAGGACCAAGCCAGUGCUGUGUGCAUCCUGUCUGAGAAAGGCUAUUGCAGUCUCCUUGGUACUGGGCAGGGGGUGAUCUGCCCUGAGAGUCCAUGUGUGUUGUAAAUACCAGUGAUUGUAGCGGUGUCUGUACAGGGACACUGAACUUGCCAAAACCUCCAGGAAUGUGCUCUCUGCUCAGAAGACAGAGCAAGAGCACAUAUUUGCCAAGUGUUCUCAGAGAUGCUUUCAAGCAGGAUAUCCUGGGCCUUCCCUGAUUUGUUUUUGACAUGAUUUAUGUCCUGUGUGUGAGUGGAAAAGUUGUCACACAAUUUAAUGGCUGUUUCUGAUUUUAUUUGUCUGGGCUUUAUGAGUAAGAAUUAGGCUCUUAGAGCCAAGCCUGGGCUCACAGCUCCUCUGCAGUGUUGCCCCACAGGCUUGGCACAAUGAGGAGCACUAAACCCAUUUUUGCUUUUGUUACCAAAGCAAAAACGCCUCUUGGUGCAUGUGUACAACCACAAUAUUUCCUCUGUAUUCCCUUGUGAGAGUGAAGCUGUGACUGCAGACUGGCAGGUGACGUAGUACCACUGGACUUCUGUCUGUGUGCAGGUGUGAAGCUGAGCUGUCAAUCUGUUGUGAUCCACACAUUGUCAUCAGGUUGCUCCUGUCUCACCACCAU
Non-coding RNA from Sturnus vulgaris (Common starling), 1300 nucleotides. NCBI's taxonomy places the organism in Eukaryota, Metazoa, Chordata, Aves, Passeriformes, Sturnidae. The record is from RefSeq and is a predicted model, not a curated record.